This is a long non-coding RNA of Canis lupus familiaris (dog), 1500 nucleotides long. RefSeq lists it as uncharacterized. Lineage: Eukaryota; Metazoa; Chordata; Mammalia; Carnivora; Canidae. The record is from RefSeq and is a predicted model, not a curated record. The transcript is spliced from 3 exons.
AAAGGAAGUUCCCAAGGAAUUUUUAUAUGUUAAAGUAGGGGUUUGGCCUAAGAUGGCCUCUUGCCCUCAGCAAGGUAUCAACGUGGCGGCAGCUGAGCUCCCAGGGGAAGGUCACUCUGCCUGUUUCAAGGACUUGUCAAAGGGCUGUAGGGAGUGAGGGAAAUUUUCUUUUGCCUUUGCUUCCCGCAUCGGUUUCUGCUGCUCACUCGGCCUGGCGUCUUCCGGAAGCCUCCCCCCACCCAGCGGCGCAGCACCACAGCGUGGCCCAGGCGUGAAGGAAGGAGCGGUACCAGCCAACACGACUCUGACGUUGCAUUUCCCUCGUCGUAGUUUAAAGAGUUGAGUCCAACCGUCACCGGUAGCUCCCGAGGAGGCUCGGUAUGGAAGGGAUCCUCCAAACAGAAUGUGAUGCUAAGGUUAGUUCCGACGUCACCGUUCACCGCUCAGAGGAGACAAACGGCUGGUGGGCACAAAGCUGCGGCUCUGUUCUCCAGAAGGAAGGGCAAGUGCCGAAGAGGAGGGAAUCCGCUGUGUUUAUCAGGCUUUUCCCCCUAAAGACGGAUACCCCAGGGCGCUGCUCAAGUGGCCUCCUCGCCAGUCCAGCCCUGGCUGCCUCCACCGUCUCCCCAGAGGCCCAGGGCUGGUUCCACAGUGAGCAGCACCCACCUGCAGGGCCCUCCCAGCCGAGGUCAACGUCCAGGCGUCCUGGGUUUGCUGCCUCUUAAGGGAGCCUCCUGCUACUUUGCAUGCUACUUGUUUCCUGAGCAGGAGAAACACUGCUUAAAAGGAUUAAUUUGGCUGGUGCUCCAGAGAAUUUGGAAGGAUUCUGAGACGGCCCUCAGAUUUCCCCCUCCUGGAGUUCAUGUUCUGUGGUAUCUCUUCCUGUUGGAUAAGGAUGGGACCUAUGAAUCGAUUGGAUGUCACUGCUGUGAUUAGGUUACACUAUAUGAUAAAGGAGUUGGAUUGACUAAGUGAAACCUGAAGUUUAAGAUGCUAAUAACAAAUGUUAACACCGUGUCUCCUGCAGUAACGAUGUGUCAUUUAUUACCUACGAAGAAAACUCAUAAUUACAUUAAUAAAACUCAAUAAUGAAACCUUAAGUACUAUCUUACAGAUUUUAUUAUUAUUUUUUAUUUAUUCAUGAGAGACACAGAGAGAGAGAGGCAGAGACACAGGCAGAGGGAGAAGCAGGCUCCCUGCGGGAAGCUGGACGUGGGACUCGAUCCCGGGACCCCGGGUCACACCGUGGGCAGAAGGCAGGCGCUCAGCCUCUGAGCCCCCCGGGCGCCCCUGAUCUUGCAUAUUUUAAAACACAUUACUAAAGUCUUUGAAAAUACUGCAUCUCCUGCGCUGAGCGCCCCGCAGCCUCCAGGGGUGUGACUAUCGCUUGGUUUAUGGCCUUACCCCUAUCACUAUCUGGGAAGUUUCAAGCACCUCUUCGCUGUCGAGCGGGUUCGUGCAGUGGCUCGACCAGAGCAUGCUUCACCCCCAUCGCAUCAC